GACGAACCGUGCGAACGUUAUUCGGACUCACUGGGCUUAAAGCGCGUGUAGGCGGGCCAUCACGUCGGUCGUUGAAAGCCCCCGGCUCAACCGGGGAACCGGCGCCGAUACGAGUGGCCUGGAGGGGGGUAGGGGGACCUGGAACUUCCGGUGGAGCGGUGAAAUGCGUUGAGAUCGGAAGGAACGCCCGUGGCGAAAGCGAGGUCCUGGACCCCAUCUGACGCUGAGACGCGAAAGCCAGGGGAGCGAACGGG
This 254-nucleotide ribosomal RNA is filed under the name uncultured bacterium. Its description in RNAcentral is "partial 16S ribosomal RNA". It matches the Rfam family "Bacterial small subunit ribosomal RNA", at positions 524 to 776 of the family's 1533-position model. The record is from RNAcentral.